GAUGCUAAUACCGCAUAAAACCUAACACCGCAUGGUGUAGGGUUGAAAGAUGGUUUCGGCUAUCACUUUAGGAUGGACCCGCGGUGCAUUAGUUAGUUGGUGAGGUAAAGGCUCACCAAGACCGUGAUGCAUAGCCGACCUGAGAGGGUAAUCGGCCACACUGGGACUGAGACACGGCCCACACUCCUACGGGAGGCAGCAGUAGGGAAUCUUCCACAAUGGACGAAAGUCUGAUGGAGCAACGCCGCGUGAGUGAAGAAUGUUUUCGGAUCGUAAAACUCUGUUGUUGGAGAAGAAUGUAUCUGAUAGUAACUGAUCAUGUAGUGACGGUAUCCAACCAGAAAGCCACGGCUAACUACGUGCCAGCAGCCGCGGUAAUACGUAGGUGGCAAGCGUUGUCCGGAUUUAUUGGGCGUAAAGCGAGCGCAUGCGGUUUCUUACGUCUGAUGUGAAAGCCUUCGGCUCAACCGAAGAAGUGCAUCGGAGACUGGGAAACUUGAGUGCAGAAGAGGACAGUGGAACUCCAUGUGUAGCGGUGAAAUGCGUAGAU
Molecule: ribosomal RNA, 550 nt
Filed under: Latilactobacillus sakei
Lineage: Bacteria; Bacillati; Bacillota; Bacilli; Lactobacillales; Lactobacillaceae
Description: bacterial SSU rRNA
Rfam family: Bacterial small subunit ribosomal RNA
Source: RNAcentral